UUUUUAUAAUUUUUUUUCCUCGCUCAGGACGAACGCUGGCGGCGUGCCUAAUACAUGCAAGUCGAGCGGACAGAAGGGAGCUUGCUCCCGGAUGUUAGCGGCGGACGGGUGAGUAACACGUGGGUAACCUGCCUGUAAGACUGGGAUAACUCCGGGAAACCGGAGCUAAUACCGGAUAGUUCCUUGAACCGCAUGGUUCAAGGAUGAAAGACGGUUUCGGCUGUCACUUACAGAUGGACCCGCGGCGCAUUAGCUAGUUGGUGAGGUAACGGCUCACCAAGGCGACGAUGCGUAGCCGACCUGAGAGGGUGAUCGGCCACACUGGGACUGAGACACGGCCCAGACUCCUACGGGAGGCAGCAGUAGGGAAUCUUCCGCAAUGGACGAAAGUCGACGGAGCAACGCCGCGUGAGUGAUGAAGGUUUUCGGAUCGUAAAGCUCUGUUGUUAGGGAAGAACAAGUGCAAGAGUAACUGCUUGCACCUUGACGGUACCUAACCAGAAAGCCACGGCUAACUACGUGCCAGCAGCCGCGGUAAUACGUAGGUGGCAAGCGUUGUCCGGAAUUAUUGGGCGUAAAGGGCUCGCAGGCGGUUUCUUAAGUCUGAUGUGAAAGCCCCCGGCUCAACCGGGGAGGGUCAUUGGAAACUGGGAAACUUGAGUGCAGAAGAGGAGAGUGGAAUUCCACGUGUAGCGGUGAAAUGCGUAGAGAUGUGGAGGAACACCAGUGGCGAAGGCGACUCUCUGGUCUGUAACUGACGCUGAGGAGCGAAAGCGUGGGGAGCGAACAGGAUUAGAUACCCUGGUAGUCCACGCCGUAAACGAUGAGUGCUAAGUGUUAGGGGGUUUCCGCCCCUUAGUGCUGCAGCUAACGCAUUAAGCACUCCGCCUGGGGAGUACGGUCGCAAGACUGAAACUCAAAGGAAUUGACGGGGGCCCGCACAAGCGGUGGAGCAUGUGGUUUAAUUCGAAGCAACGCGAAGAACCUUACCAGGUCUUGACAUCCUCUGACAACCCUAGAGAUAGGGCUUUCCCUUCGGGGACAGAGUGACAGGUGGUGCAUGGUUGUCGUCAGCUCGUGUCGUGAGAUGUUGGGUUAAGUCCCGCAACGAGCGCAACCCUUGAUCUUAGUUGCCAGCAUUCAGUUGGGCACUCUAAGGUGACUGCCGGUGACAAACCGGAGGAAGGUGGGGAUGACGUCAAAUCAUCAUGCCCCUUAUGACCUGGGCUACACACGUGCUACAAUGGACAGAACAAAGGGCUGCGAGACCGCAAGGUUUAGCCAAUCCCACAAAUCUGUUCUCAGUUCGGAUCGCAGUCUGCAACUCGACUGCGUGAAGCUGGAAUCGCUAGUAAUCGCGGAUCAGCAUGCCGCGGUGAAUACGUUCCCGGGCCUUGUACACACCGCCCGUCACACCACGAGAGUUUGCAACACCCGAAGUCGGUGAGGUAACCUUUAUGGAGCCAGCCGCCGAAGGUGGGGCAGAUGAUUGGGGUGAAGUCGUAAGGGGAGAACCCGAAAAAAAAAAUCAAAGGGCGAGGAUUGUCGGUUCGAAGCGAGGAGGGGGAGGGGGGUAGGAGGGGGGUUGAGGCCCGGGGGG
Molecule: ribosomal RNA, 1600 nt
Filed under: Bacillus pumilus
Lineage: Bacteria; Bacillati; Bacillota; Bacilli; Caryophanales; Bacillaceae
Description: bacterial SSU rRNA
Rfam family: Bacterial small subunit ribosomal RNA
Source: RNAcentral